This 7747-nucleotide long non-coding RNA is filed under the name Coccomyxa subellipsoidea. RNAcentral's name for it is "long non-coding RNA (CSUB_LNC000055)". The record is from RNAcentral. Lineage: Eukaryota; Viridiplantae; Chlorophyta; Trebouxiophyceae; Coccomyxaceae.
UGCGUGAGCAAGAUUGUCGAUGAUGGAUUGUACCUGCACAAACGUCACAUAAGAGGGAACCAUGGAAAAAUGCUGGAGUAGGCUGGAACGGCCCUGCUUCACACAGUAGUUCACCUGAAAGCUGGCGAGAAGGUGGGUUAUUGCCAAUUUUACCUCUAUUCCUGCCAAAAUCAACACACAAGAUGCUCCCAUUCUUCUAUUAGGAUCAACAGGCAAUACCUAGGGACGAUCCCAACCUAGGCGCAUGCUUGAUCAGAUGUAGUACUCCAUAUGUCUAUUGCCUGUGAAAUUGCUGGUGUUUUACAGUCUCAAGCCUUUGUUUCUGCAGCUCGUUUCGGAUUUGGGCAGGCCAUAUCCUGGAGCAACACAUGGUAGUGGGCAGACUGAAGAAGCGCAUGCAAAUAUGGAUCAGCGCAGCUGAGACCCAGUGAUGGUGUGCGCAGGUCGUGUCAUUGGACUUUGGUCCGGUAGGAGAGGCAGACGUGACAGCCAAUCUGAUGGAGGCAGUGCCCUGCAGCCUGGCGCUGCAUGAUCCAGCUGAGCUGCCAGAAGACACUGCUGCGCUGCCCUUCCUGCACAUCAAAGUGCCACACCACCCUGCCGAGUCUGCCAUUCUUUCCCAGGUUGGCAUCCUGCUCCCUUGUGUCUCAAAUGGAGAGGGCAAGCAACCUGCACUUCACAAGGCUGUGCAUUGUUUAGAACGUGGAAAGGCAGGAAUGACUCUCUGCGCGGCAAUCAUGCCCAGUGCUACUGCAAAGCCCUACAAAAAUUUCCCUGCAAAGUGUCCAUAUGGAGGACCUCAUUCCUGCAAAGUGUCCAUCUAUAGAAAGGUUUUAUGCCAGUCUGCAUGGGUCUUCAUGGCUUAUGGCUGCGUGCAGGCUGUGGAGUUUGCUCAGUCGCGGCAGUACCACGCGUUCACAAACAACUGCAUCCAGAACACAGACUUCUUUAUUCGGGCGCUGACGGGCGGCGCAGUCAGAAAUGCUCCUCUCGUGCAUGACGCAUUGUGCGGGCAUGUGCCGGCACAAGACAACCCCAUGCUCGUCAUGUUCAUGCUGAUGACUGGAUUCUCCUGGUGCGCCUUCGUUUCUCACCCUGCCGCCUUCAAAGUCACAGCUCUGCACCUUCUAACUUCAGACAUGUUGAUAGGACAUGGGCCUUAAGUGGUAAUGAUGUGCAGAACAACAUGAUCACGGGUGACAGAGUUUGAUUGGAUGUCAAAUUUAAGUCUCUCCACUGCAUGUACAUAUGGCGUUAGGACACGCUGUCAGAUAUGCGAAAGAGAUUCAUUAAUUUUAGAGACAAGAUCAGGAUUAGCAAAGUAACUCCACAAUGAGGUCACGGUGCUGGUGCCCACUGUCGCUGCGUGAGGCAAGCUUACUGUGUGUGUGUGUGAGAGAGAGAGAGAGAGAGAGAAAGAGAGAGAGAAACAUUACAUCGUGCCAGCCAACAAGGCUGAUUAGAUGUCCACUGUAUCUGCCCAUUAUUUAGAGGUUAUGUUUGAGGCUGCGAGUUAUGACUAUUGUGGGACAAGCUGACAAGGACUGCUGCUGAUUGCAGGUUUGAUGUCUGCGAUGGAAGCCAGGCGGCUGCAGCCUUCUUGCGGGAGCACGCCAAGCCUGCCAUGCCUAAGUGAGGAGUGGGUCCAAGUGAUGAGGAGGACCGCUUCUGAGAAUCUUUUGAGGAGAGUGUAAACGACAUUCAUUACUUUAUCUGUGAAGAUCAUGGUUCUGUCGAGAGAGUAAAGGUUGUGAAUUUGCACAUGUCCAGGUGCAUAACGGAUAAUUUCAACUCAUUGCUAUUGCGGCUGGUGCAGCUUGUUACAGCAAGCAUGUACGGACUCAUUUGGUAAUACGUAAUGUUGCAAAUUGAUUGCAAUUGCGCUUUGCAGGUUGCACCUGCAAUCAGUUGCUCAGUGCUCGCCCAGCACAGUAUGUAACGCUGAGCUGGCAUUCAUCUUCAAUAUAUAUGGCCCCAUCCUGGAAGCGAUUCACUUCCAGGAUGGGGCCACUGUCCUCUGCCCUGCUGUGAGUCUUACAUAGAUUUGCCGGAGUUCAAUCGGAUAAAUGAUCACCAUGCUUCAAAGAAGUUGCUCACCGUGCUCACUGGAGAGGACCGAUAUGGUCGCGUGGUUGCCAAAGAGGAAGCUCAAGAACCUGCACCCAGCAUAAGAAAUUGAUCUAAAAGACCUUGCUUUGCUACAACGUAAUAAGCAUCACUUGCAACGCUACUAUGGGAAAGCGCUUGAGCCAAGUGAAAGCAACAAUCCGUCGUCGCCAAAUAUUAACACCGAGUGGCCCAUGCCCGAUCUCAAUUUCCUUUCAUACUGUAAUUUAAAAUUUCUGGCACGUCAAUAUGUGAAGGUAACUCACUUCGCACUUCACGUAUGUCUAUAAUUAAAUGACACUGGGAGCUAUGAGCAGCACCUCUCUAGGGCUUCCCGAAGCGUUGAAACCUAUGUGACUACGAGGCCAAAAGGAGUUCAAUAUGAGGCAAUAUCAAUUAUACUGUGAUGUACUAUAGUGAGAAAAGCCUGAAUCGCUGACAUUGUGGCCCGAAGCAGAGCCAACCACAACCCCGGUACUGGAGGUAGAUGAACCAGAUAAUCUAUAGCGCAGUCUGCGCCUGAGGCAUUUAUAAGCUAAACGAUCUACAGCAUCAGAACUCGAUCCGGGAGCCGUUUGACUGCAAGUGGAAAGCAUACGUGAAGAAAUAAGUGUGUCGCGAUUGUGAGGCCGAAAAAUAUCUGAGGUCCGGGCAGCCUUGAGGGCCUAUAUAGAAGCUGACUUAUAAAACGAGGGUCUUGAGGUGAGGACAUUCAAUUCACCCUCGGACAGGUUGCAGAACGUUUUCUUGGGCUACUGUAUCGAGCCUAAACGAAGUCCAUAUGCCCUUCGGAUAAGACUUAGUCAGCCACGCAUCUUCAAGGUCUGCAGCUAGGUCACCUCUGUGCAAUAAAGUUUUGACCAUGGCAAAGCGAAGGUGAGCAGGCAGUGCAGUCACGUGAUUGAAUGCACUUGCAAUGGUACACAUGUAAACGAAAAGUUUCAAAGCGCAGAAAAGAACUGGACAGUACAGGAAAGAACCCGCAUUGGGGAUACCCUGUCUCAAGUUCACUAUUUGAAUGUCUUUGCAGACCGGGGGGCUACUGGACUUCACUUUCAUGUUUGCCAACCUUCGCAAUGUUGCUGGCGAUAAUGAAGACCAAAGACAUAGGUGAUGCUUUGUACCGCAGUGACUGCUCAUGAAGCCGUUAGUAUGGAAAACACUUGACGGGACGUUCGGGGUAUCGCUAGGUGCUUUUGCUGUGGAGUAUGAGAACGUUCUGAACUCGACGGCUGUUCAAGGUGCGCCUACUUAUCCUGUGCGGAUAUUUAAACAAGACUGAAGAAUGGCUCUGGCCAUUCCUUUACCAAAACCCUGAUGCUGAAGUGAGUUUUGGUGGUUUCUUCUUACUUCUUGGCACAUGUUUGUACUGCACACGGUUCUCAAAUAUCCUCGUGAAUGGCCCAGGCAUCGAUGGAUUUUUCCCAGCAAGCAAGGCCUACGUCCUUGCUCAGAACAAGCAUCUCGAGUAUGAGCUUCAAUCUUUGAAGACCACUGUUGCUCAACUGGCUGCCGAGAAUCAGCAAGAACAGAGCAUAAUCAAUAAUUUGGUGGAAAAAGUCAACUCCUUCACUCCAGUAAGUUUUGUCACAUCGUGUAUGAAUUCUCAUGCGUCCAUUAAUUAACUUGCUGCAGGAACCCAUGCUGCAAUUGCUGCGAUUUGUCGAAGGACAAGCAUUAUGUGCACGUAUAAAACGCAGGGUCUCAAUGGAACAGAUGGUAUCAAUGGCUUCAAUGGAACUGCAGGUAUGUCACUACCCAUAGAAGUUGUUGUUGUUACUGUUAUUGCUCCACUCUGCAUUCAUCCAUAUGCUGCGGGAUGGAGCUCAUUUGCAACAGGUUUCUGACACACUUUCUUGUGCAUGUCCUACAGGACCCACAGGGGCCACUGGCCUUACUGGUGCGACUGGAGGCACCGGCCCAACUGGCGGCACCGGCCCAACAGGUGUGCUCCCUGGCUGAGUGCAAUGAAAGCACAUGGCUCAAAUGCAAGCUUCUAUGUGAGUCUGCAAAGUGACCGGCUCCGAAGAGAGAUCUGAAUUCCAGCAUGGACAACAAUUGCACUGCCUGCCUGCCUGCGCUUCCCUUAUAAAGUCACGUGAGACUAAAAUACAGUGUGCUGCGCAUCUCAUUUGCAUGCAGCAUGCAUGCAUGCUGUAUGGUCAGAAUAGGCAAGAAUUAUCGUGUUCAGAAAGCUACCAUGCGUACCUUGAAUGCUGUUUUUUCUUGCUGUAGCCUACGCCAAUACCAAAGAGUUUUUCGUUACAUUGUGGUAUUCUGCAGGUGGAACGGGCGUAGGAGUGAUAACCGCAGGUGUGUUCCUGCCAGUGGUUUCUGUUAUGAUUAUCUUUGGCAUGUAACAGGCUUCUUUAGCUAGCAAAUGUGUCACUGCUUCAACAGAUGCACCUUUAGCACAGAAUACCUGAAGCCUCUGCAAUCCUUAGAGGCCACAUGAGGUGUCAAAGAUGAAGCGAAGCACCCAAGUCAAAGCAUUGCACCUUGCAAUUGCCUUGAUAAGGGUGAUGACUCAUUGGGCAUGCAUGCAUGCAGCGCAAGAGCUCAUCACCUUCGACGUCAACGAGAACGGCUCAAAUCUGCCUGCGGAAAAUCAAUUCGGCGCCCGCACAUCUUUCUUCAACCUCAGAUUUGGGUACGGCUUUGGGACUGUGGAGAAUGGCGGCGGAACAUGGUCGCGACCUGACAACACCUACCGCAUUGUGCCUGAGUCCCCGCCGAACGUUGCCGUGUGGUCACCGACUGGACCCGCCACCAUCCAGCCGGCACCAACUGUCGUCAGCUUUGCCCUCAACAGCAUCUAUGUUGGCUACCUCCAAGCCUCUGAAGCGCCCGCCGCCGCCCCUGUCGUCAUCACAGGCUACCUACAGACGAUCGCUGUGGCAGCGUGCUCUUACACAGUGGCCCCAACGGCAGGCCAGCCACCCACGCUGGUGACGACGCCCGGGUGCGGGAAUGUGGACCAGAUCGAGAACACAGACAACAACGGCCAAUAUUUUUUCAUUGACAAUAUGGAUGUCACACUUUUUAAGCUGUCCUAUGCCUGAGGUGCCCAUCCGCUUUUGUUUCCGAAGUUUGGAAUGGAGUAUUUGGAGCAGGUGCCGGAGGCAGACCUUUUGACUUAGCAGCUGCUGGGGAAAAUAUUUGGACACUUAGAACGAUGUCCUAAAACAAUUGCCGAAGUGCUGGGCACUCAUUUGAAUGUGAGAAACCAAGCUCUAGAGUGGAAAGAAGCAGAGAGCAGCUGCUGGAAAGGUUUUCUUAUUAAUUUUCAAAUACUUGGAAUGAAGUCUUGGGGCAGCUGCUGAAAGCAUCUGCUGGGGAGAUUAUUUGGACACUUGGAACGAUAUUCUGGAAGAACUGCCGAAAUCUAGUGCUGGGCACUCAAUUGAAAGUUGGAAAGAAAAACUCUGGAGCGGGCCCGGGAAGAAGCAGAGAGCAGCUGCUGGAAAGGUUUUCUUUAUAAUUUUCAAUAACAUGGAAUGAAGUCUUGGGGCAGCUGCUGAAAGCAUUUGCUGGGGAGAGUCUUGAGAGCUAAAAUGGGGUUCAAAAACACCGUUCCAGCAGCUGUGACAGCUUUUUUUGACAUUUGCAGGAAGCUGCAGGAAGCAGAUGCUGCCUGAGUACGUCUACAUAGUAUGUGCAGAGGAGAACUUCCCCACAGCUCCCCGGGUUCUCACAGCGCAAUUUGGCAACUGAUCAGACGAUAUCUUGGUGAUCGACCCACUAGUUGGCAUGUUUGUCAAGUGCCAGCAUUUGACAUCAGGCAUUAAAAGUCCGUCUAAUGCUGCAGGGACUUGAUCUUCUCAUCCUUCCCUGCUCCCGGCCUCCACUUUCCCAACUCCGUCUGCAGCAUGUUCAGAGCCUGUUGCUUCAUGGCUCCUGCAUUGCGCACCUCCAGGUUCCAGCUGGUUCACAUGCGCCCACACCUUCCGAAGGUCUCCGGAAUCCGCAUGUAACCGAAAGUAGCCUUGAAAGUUCUGAUGCACCUUGCCUCUCAGGCACCGGUGCCUCCCUUGGCCGCAGCGGCUCAUCAAAGCUUGCGUGAUCUUUGUUAAACAGGUACUACUUAGUAAGUGCCUGCAUGCAUGCGGCUAAUGGAGGGUGACAAAGAGGGGGAUGCUGUGAAGAGUUUUGAAACAGCCCCCCGCUGAGCUGGGAUCCAGUGAUGCACUGCUCACCAGACAGGCCACAUGAUUCACAAGGCAGAGAAAUCUUAUCAUUCAUGGUUUCAAGUGAGUGACGUAGUGCUGAUGCAUUGCCUGAUGUCAGUCCAGACUCUGUGUGAGUCACUCCAGAGGAUGACUGUUUGUGAGGGUUGUGGUCACGUGCGGAUUGUAACGCAGCUCUGUCAUCGACAUAAAUGACAUGACGAUUCUCGGCAUAGAAAGGGAUCUCGGGGUAUGCGCACGCACAUCCAAUGUCUCGCUUCAAAUUUCUCCUAGUCUUGCUUGUCAGCGCCACCAGAAGCGGCGGUGAGUGCCGCAACAUCAACAUUGAACCCACAGGGCCCUUGAUAUCUUCACACGUUCCCUGGACAAGCAAUCGGGCUUAGACCGGAUGCACAUUAGUAUAUAUUGGCUGAAACGAGAUUGCUGAUUGUCGCCAACUGAAAGGGGUGUCGGCAACGAGUUUGUGACUGGCUUAAAUGAAACCCUUGCGCGUCAGCUUCUAGACCUCGCUUCCCCUAAAAUGUGUAUUUCGAUCGUGCAACCCUCGCAAGAAAACUUUUGUUACUUAAAAGGGUAGGAUCCAAAGACUGCAGUUCUUGGACAGAAUUGUUUCAUUGCUGCGAUCAGGAUGCUGACGGAAGCUCUCUUCUUGACGUGGCGCGAUCAGGAGCAAGGAAAGUUCGAAACGCAGCCCCAACUUCCUGGACAGAAGGAGCUGCCAUUCCAUAUCAGAAGCUUGGGUCUUGAUCACCGUCAAACAUCCCAAACAUGGCUCCUGCAAGUGAUGUAUGCGUGGAACGGGAUGUGCAACCAAUGGCGGCCGCUACUGCGGUCCACAGCGCCGUCCAGCAGAAGUGCUUGACUGCUGAUGCUGUUCCGGAUGCUUUCGCAACACCGAUCAUGCGACCAACCUUUGGCGAAUCUAUGUAAGUAUUCUGAACACAAGCUUAUAUAGCGUUCGAUGUGGUUUGAUGGGCCUUCUUGAGUUCGAAACCCCUGAUCUUGCUUUCUAGAAUGUUCUUUGGGAAGCUGUUGGCGUUGCCACAGCGAUGAUGUCAUCGACCCAUCCGUUCGACUUUUAUGUCUCUACUGUGGUGUCAAAAGUGAUAUAAUGACAGCAGAAAUCCUUGCAGGCACCAAUUUCUGGAGCAGCUCAGACCCACCUUGGACACCAGCCAGUUUGCCUGCGUGAGCAAGAUUGUCGAUGAUGGAUUGUACCUGCACAAACGUCACAUAAGAGGGAACCAUGGAAAAAUGCUGGAGCAGGCUGGAACGGCCCUGCUUCACACAGUAAUUUACCUGAAAGCUGGCGAGAAGGUGGGUUAUUGCCAAUUUUACCUCUAUUCCUGCCAAAAUCAACACACAAGAUGCUCCCAUUCUUCUAUUAGGAUCAACAGGCAAUACCUAGGGACGAUCCCAACCUAGGCGCAUGCUUGAUCAGAUGUGGUACUCCA